Non-coding RNA from Labrus bergylta (ballan wrasse), 5395 nucleotides. The record is from RefSeq and is a predicted model, not a curated record. Lineage: Eukaryota; Metazoa; Chordata; Actinopteri; Labriformes; Labridae.
AGGGGAGGUGUAGAGUGGAGGCGACUGGAAUUGCGUCUCCCACUCUCUCCUUCGCUGUGUGGAGAAUAAAGGGCUCCCUGCUGUACCAGUUGAUCACUUGAGCAUGGGAGAGGGGGGUGAGUAGGGGUGAGGUUAAAAGGAAGAUGGGUAUCCUCUGGCACUCAAAAGAUUAAGCACCUUAUACUGAACUAAUGCACUUUAUUGAGAUGGGAUUUGAAUAGUUUUUUUUUUUUUUGUGCGUGUGUGUUGGGAAUGAGGGCACACACACACAUUAUCUGUGUGUGUGUGCGGUGGAACUGGAAGGGGGGCGGUGAAACAGGCGGUGGGGUGAAUGGUCGGGAUGUUAGGUUUUCAAAGUCAGGGGGACCUUUUAGUUGAAACCUUAUCAGAGAGCAAAUCCUUUCUCAAAAGACAAACACUGUUGAUAUUUCUCUUGUUUAGCAUUUUUUUACAUUUAUAUAAAAAGUAAAGCUAUUGAAAAAUGGAUUAUAAAAAACUUGAAGAUUUGCACUUGCCUAAAAAAGAAAUAACAAAAACAACAAAAAAAUCAAACAAAUGGGGUUAGUUAUAGAAGUGAAUAUUUUUUUGAAUGUGUCUGAAUGACUGCGAGUGUGACGGUUUGUGUCAGUAAUAUACAAGUCUGCACAAUGUUUUUUUUGUUUCUUCUUUUUUUUGUUGCUUACCAAGAUGUAUGAAACAUAAGAGGCCAUUUUAUGUCUUUUUUUUUUGUUCAAAUGGUAAAUUUUGUAUUCUCAUGUUAAGAGUGUGUUUCCCUUUCUCCAAACAGGGACUUGAUUUGUAUGCUUGUGUGAGAGAGAGAGAGAGAGAGAGGCCAAUUGCACAACACAUCCUUUCUCUCACCAGCUCUUCAUCCCCAGAUAGACGAAAUAGAAAUGCAUACAUUUGUAAAUGCUAGCUUUGCGCUCAUGACAUGAUGACCACCACUAGUUUAUUUCCCUUAGCUUCUCCGCAUGGAGAGCUGUCUGUAGACCUGUGAGGACGCAGACAGGGCGAAUCAUGAGGGACAUUACUGUGUGUGCAUCAGAAUGAGACGGUGUGUGUGUUUGUGUGUGUGUUUUCUCAGUGUGCAUGUUCAUUUACUGUUCAUAGAAAUGAGUUAAAGACUACAGGUACUCAUUCUGAAUACAUGUGCUUUUUUUGUGUUUGUAUGUGAAUGAAUGCACAUUUGUGCCUAAGAACUCUGAUAGGGUGUGUGGCCAUUGAGACAUUAACUCUUUUUUGAGAGCGAGUGUGAUGUGUGUCAGUGCUCAGCACAGUGUAUGUAAGUUUAUAUCAUAAAUAUUUCUAGUUGAGUCUAGGGGUGAUCCAUCAGAAGGUUAGUCCAGUCUGUUUUCCUGGGGUGCGAUCACGUUGCCUUUUGUCAGCUCUCGAACUUGUGAAUGAAAGGUGUCGAGUUUCUGACUCUGAAAAAAAAAAAAGAUACAGCAUCUUAAUGUGCAAGUGCACAGAAGGGUGCAUGAAAUGUUAGCAUAUUGUGUUACUGAUUCGUUGUUGCAAUUUGAUAAUGACGAGUUUUCUUUUUUUUUUAUGAAAAAUAUAUAUGAAUAUAUACAUUAUAUACAAAGUUUAAAAAGUAUUUGGACUAAGAUAAUGAGCACUUGGGGCUGCUAUUUUUGUUGUGCGAUUUAAUUUUUUUUUUUUCCUUAAUUUUUUUUGUUUUAUUAUCGCCAUGUGAAGUGUGUGUAAGUUUUUCUUUCUUAAGAAAAUAUUGAAUGUAUUCCAAAAAAAAUGACAAGAAACCCGUGCUGAUACCAGAUAUUAUUUUUUUUCCUCAGAAGAUUUCAAAAAAGGAAACAAAAUACAAAAAAGCUUCAAAGAGUUUAGCAAGGACUUUUUAUAAACAGUGGAGAAGGAGAAAAAAAAAAAAAACUUGGGAUGGAUACAGUUGAACACACUGCCUCUACAAUCCUGGUCGUACAAUUAAUGACUGAGAAUUAAAAGAAAGGACUCUUUCUAUUCCAUACUGGAGUUUUGGUUGUUUACAAACCACAUGGAUAUCUGUGGGUGCAGUUUUUUUUUUUUUUUUUUUUGUUAAUUGUUUUAUUUUAUUUUUUUGUUCCCACAUAUGACGGGUGGGGUUUGCAAGUGCGCUUCUGCCAUAUGGACAUUGAGUGGUGUUGGUUUGAGGAAGAAUCGCAGGCAUCACAACAACAAUGGACAAGAUCUUUUAAGUGGACUUUAUGUGUGGUUGUUGAGCCUGAAACAUGAUGAUCAAACAUGGAGCGGUGGUAUAAGAAAUCAAGGAUGGGCUCUGAUUGGUGGAGAACGGAGUGCAGGGCUGCAAAACCCUGGAGGGGAACUCAAGAGGGAGCGAUACGAGUACACCUGUUAGUGCACUUGUCUUUCACCUCAACCCCUCAGAAGCACUCACACCCUGCCCUCACCAACUCACCUAUGCACUUUUGUUCAUUCAAGCUGUGAGGUACCUUUUUGGGGAUGGGAGCACAAUUACAACAGGAGGAUUGCUACGACUUCACUUGACGAAGUCACUGAAAAAAAAAAAAAAAUCCCAAAACUGAAAUAAAGAGACUCAAGAAGCUACGUCUUCUUCCAACUCCUGUACAUAACCAUAUUUUUGUAUUACCUUUCAGAGUAGAAAGAAAAAUUUGAAAAAUGGAUGAAGGAAAAAAUUCAUGAGACAUUGCUUAUAUGGAGUGAAUGUUCUUCAAGAAAACCAAUCUUAUUUUUGUUUUUUAUUUUUUUUGAAUAUAGUUUGAGAUAGACUUGCUGUGAGUUUCCCUCAGUUUGCCAGUUACCCCUGAAAUAAUUGGGGACGGAAGGGAAAACCACACGGACAUGGACUGAGGUGCUGGCUCAAAGACUGACUGAUAGCUUCUUAUCAAAAUGGAUGUUUUUACAGUUACUACAAAGAGCCUCACCAUGAGUGUUCGAUCAACGUGCACGCUAAAGAGGCUGGAAUCGAGCUGUCGGCGAGGAUGCUUUCACGUCGUCUACAAACCUGAGAGCUGUGGAGAGACUGCAGAAGAAACAAUCCUUGGCAUUGGAUUGUGUCUGUGCUUUAUUUGAUGCCCUCUACGAGGAGGAUCUUAUCCACAGCCAACCCAUGAACCAGUUAACCUGUCCUACAAACUUAACCCCUAGAAACUUUUCUGUUUCGAUUUGGACUGGGCAAUCCAGUGGCAUUACCAGUUGGAUGGUUACCAAGAUAAAGUUACACCUUUAUCGACCGUGGAUCCCAUCUGUGUUGGAAGUGUUGCAUUUGGAUUCCGGCACUCUCUAGUUUAAAAGGAAAAAAAAGAAAAGAAAAAAAAAAGUGAAUAAAGAGGGCAUCGAUUGCCCGGAUGUCAUCACCGACUUGGCCUGAAACUUGUCAGGUGGUUGUCUGGAGGUUCAUCUAACCAGCAGGACAGAAGACCUGCCCGGAUGUCCGGAGACUUGAGUGCUGGGUUGGGUUGCAGCGUCCGUAAUGGAUGAACUGAAAACGUUGUACAAAAAAGACUUUAAAAAAACAUGACAAAACACAAACACACAGCAACAUGUCACAUAGAUUCAGGAGGCCAAGGGAGUUGCAGACACACUACAUGCAAACCUACACACACUCGAUUACAUUGGCUGUUCUUUAGAACCACGUCUGCACACUUAACCAGGGCUACAUCCAAAUCUCACAUAGACACACACACACAAGCAUCAAGGCUCAUCAGUAUAAAUGCUGAGCUGUGUAAAUAAUGUAAAAGUUUGUGUUUUGAUUUUUCCUCUCAUAGUGAGGUUUGCUUUUUUUUUUUCUCAGUUCAACAUGCCUUAAAAUGUAUAGUUCAGGCUAACUGAAAAACGUUCUCUAAAUGAUGAAUUUAAGUUUGAAAUCACCUUGAUGACUGUCCUCCUAAGUCAAAGAAAGAAAGGAGUCUUUCUGAAGACAGUUUUUUUUUUUUCCCGAAAGAAUUUGCUUUACAAACCACCUCGAGGGUUGCUAGUUAGCUACGGUAUAAAGCAGCGAGCGAUCUUUGAUGAAUCUAAUUUUGUAGGUGGUUGGCUUUUGUUGCCCUUUUGGUUUUCUUAAAAUGACGAGUGGAUUUGUUCAGAUGUCCUGUUUAGAUAAUCGCUGAAGGUUCAGGCUUGAUUAAGGGCUGAAGUCUGUACUUGUCUGGAGCUGAGCUGGCAGGUGAAAUGAACACAAUUGGCUUAAAGAACAGACUUGUUGCUGUGGUAACUAUUGUUGGAUAUACUGCACAUGGUGAAACUAAACCAGAGUUUGACUGCUCCUUCACAAAUGGAGGGGCUUCUUGUUCACUUCUCACACUCCCUGGGUCUUACAUGUUUAGGAAAACUACUAGAUACUUUUUACUGUUUAAAGUUGUCAUUUAACGCUUGCCUUAGAAGUGUGAUUCGAAGAGCAAGUGUGCAUCAUUUGUGAUAUUUGUGGGUUUUGACACAAAACCUUGAGGUGGGUCACAGCCUGGCCCAUUCAGCCUCUGCUUUGUCUGUAACACCUGUGAUCAUCUCUGAUGGCACUGAAUAUUUAAGGAAUCAGAUCAGUUGUGAUCCGUCUGAAAGGGAAUUCCUUGCAUCAAAAUGUGUAGGGUCUUACUGCACGUAUGUAUAUUUAAUUGGAUUUGAGAGAUCAAUGCUUUUAGUCGACUAGUAGUUCUUCUGUGAACUUGAUAACUAAAACAGUAUGACGUUUUUAAUCCAAAUGGCAACUGGUAUUCAACGAGAAACAUCAAGUUUAGACUUGCAAUACAUGUGCACACUGUUCAGCUGAGGUUUGAUAGUUACCUGCCAUAGCUAACUGUGUCAACUAAAGUAACUACAGUCUGCCUCAGUAUAUAACUGUUGAAGUGAUACUGAGUUAAUGCUAUAUGGUUACUUAGUUGUUGUGUUAUCAGCUGCCAAAACAAAGAAGUUGUCUUGUAAAUGGCUUUAAAAAUACUUGAUUUGACAAAUUUUAACUGUUAUUGUGUGGUGUUAGUUGUUGGUCAGUCGGUCUGUCUUUAAAACAGAUGUUUUUGCAGUUUAUUUUACCGCACUACACAAAAUUUUAUGACUAGAUAAACUGCAAUUUUGUGUUGUAAAAAAACAAAAAAAAAAAGAGGCUCAGGUGUUAGGUCGCUGGCUCUGAUAAGUUCCUGUCAAAGCCUGUUGCUUCAUGAUAUAAAGUUGAUCAUCUGGUUUAGUUUUGCUUUGUUCAUCGUAUCUCCAACAAUGUUGCAAAAAGAGAAAUAUUAAAGUUUUAUCUCAGCCGGCUCAGCUCCUUAGCUUAAUGAAAAUGAAUGUUGUUUAAAAAGAAACACAGCAUACAUUUAAUGAAACUGUUAUGAAAAAGAAAAGAACAACUGAAAGACCUGUAAAUAGUUUGGCUUUUGUUUGUUUGAAGAACAAAAUAAAUACUAAAUAAAUAGCAUUUAGCCGUGACUGA